UCUUAAUCCGACAGCUCAUUGUUGUUCUUGUCUCUGUCUUCAUCUAGUUCUGCCACAGAGAUAGAGAAUAUCAGAAUCCCAGGGUCUCUCAAUCCAAGCCUUGUAAAAAACCCUCUGGGCUGUAAGUAACAGAAACCAAACUCAACCCAACAUAAACAAUAAAGGGAAUUUAUUGGCUCAUGUAACAAAACCAUCCACAGGCAGGGCCAGUCACAGGCAAAGAUGGAUCCUAUGCUUAACAGCAUCAACAAGGAUCUGGUUUCCUUCUGCCUCCUGACUCUCUCUUCUGUUGUCAGCUUCAUGCUGGGAGGGGUCCCCUCCAGGAUUCCCAAGACAGCCCCUGUCAAGACCCAAGGUUACCUACUUCUUCGUUGACAUCUAGCAAGAUGGGGAACCGAGGCCAGAGAGAGAGAAGGCCUGUUCUAAGAUCACAGCAGAGAAGAGCUGGGACCACGACCCACCCCUUUAAUCUGCAGACUUGAUCCUAUUUCCACUCUACUCUAAUUCGACCUUGUUCAGGCCAACUCAGGAAAUAUUAAGUGGUCAUCAAUGUGGGUUCAGAUCAAUCAAUUUCUCCCCAAACCUUAAUGAACUACUUCGGAAGCAUCACAUUUUAAAC
Long non-coding RNA from Bos taurus (domestic cattle), 619 nucleotides. The record is from Ensembl. Lineage: Eukaryota; Metazoa; Chordata; Mammalia; Artiodactyla; Bovidae.